RNAcentral lists this ribosomal RNA (966 nucleotides) under uncultured marine bacterium. RNAcentral describes it as "bacterial SSU rRNA". It matches the Rfam family "Bacterial small subunit ribosomal RNA", at positions 61 to 1035 of the family's 1533-position model. The record is from RNAcentral.
GUCGAGCGAAGCUUUUCAGUAGUUUACUACAGAAAAUGACUGAGCGGCGAACGGGUGAGUAACGCGUGAGCAAUCUACCUUAGUUACAGGGAUAGCCCGAGGAAACUCGGAUUAAUACCUGAUAUUCUUUAAAUUUCGCAUGAAAUUAAAAGGAAAGGUCAGCCGAACUAAGAUGAGCUCGCGUUCUAUCAGCUAGUUGGUGAGGUAAAAGCUCACCAAGGCAACGACGGAUAGCUGGUCUGAGAGGACGAUCAGCCACACUGGGACUGAGACACGGCCCAGACUCCUACGGGAGGCUGCAGCAGGGAAUAUUGCGCAAUGAGCGAAAGCUUGACGCAGCGACACCGCGCGUGGGAUGACGGAUCUAGGUUUGUAAACCACUUUCAGGAGGGAAGAAAAUGACGGUACCUCCACAAGAAGCCCCGGCCAACUACGUGCCAGCAGCCGCGGUAAUACGUAGGGGGCGAGCGUUGUCCGGAUUUAUUGGGCGUAAAGAGCUCGUAGGCGGUUCAACAAGUCGGUCGUAAAAGUUCAGGGCUCAACCCUGAAAUGUCGAUCGAUACUGUUGUGACUAGGAUACGGUAGAGGUGAGUGGAAUUCCGAGUGUAGCGGUGAAAUGCGUAGAUAUUCGGAGGAACACCAAUUGCGAAGGCAGCUCACUGGGCCGCUAUCGACGCUGAGGAGCGAAAGCUAGGGGAGCAAACAGGAUUAGAUACCCUGGUAGUCCUAGCUGUAAACGAUGGAUACUAGACGUAGGAACUGGAUUGACGGUUUCUGUGUCGUAGCUAACGCGUUAAGUAUCCCGCCUGGGGAGUACGGUCGCAAGACUAAAACUCAAAGGAAUUGACGGGACCCCGCACAAGCGGCGGAGCAUGCGGCUUAAUUCGAUGAUACCCGUAGAACCUUACCUGGACUUGACAUAUAGGGUCAAGCUAUAGAGAUAUAGUGUGCAUUAGCGCCCUAUAC